Molecule: unclassified non-coding RNA, 334 nt
Filed under: soil metagenome
Description: partial contains 5.8S ribosomal RNA, internal transcribed spacer 2, and large subunit ribosomal RNA
Rfam family: 5.8S ribosomal RNA (bases 1-120)
Source: RNAcentral
GAUGAAGAACGUAGCGAAAUGCGAUAAGUAGUGUGAAUUGCAGAAUUCAGUGAAUCAUCGAAUCUUUGAACGCACAUUGCGCCCCUUGGUAUUCCAUGGGGCAUGCCUGUUCGAGCGUCAUUUGUACCUUCAAGCUUUGCUUGGUGUUGGGUGUUUGUCCAUUCUCUUGCAGAGGGACUCGCCUUAAAGUAAUUGGCAGCCAGUGUUUUGGUUUUGCAGCGCAGCACAAGUCGCGAUUCAGCGCUAUACGCCAGCUUCCACAAGCCUUUUUCACUUUUGACCUCGGAUCAGGUAGGGAUACCCGCUGAACUUAAGCAUAUCAAUAAGCGGAGGA